UACGAAUAGUAAUAUACUGAUGAUUCUCCUAAAGCAGUGUUGCUAGAGAACAAACACCAAAAUGAUACUGUGCAUGGCGACACCACAAACACUCUUGUGAUGUAGAACAGAACACGUACUCUGAUGUAGCUAUGACAGAAGGACCUUUGUCAUGAUCUCUGUGAUAUCCACAUCUGUUACCUUAAGCUACAGUGUUCACAUGAGAACGUUCCAGGGAUACAUGGAGACAUCUUUGUCUGGCUGAAAGGCAGGCAUAAAUCAUAUAAAUGUCUUCAUCAAACAUCAAAAUUGUUUAACUUAACUACCAUCACUCCUACUUUUCCCUUCAAAACGUCCCUCCAAACAGCAGAGGAAAGCAGAUGUUGAAUGGGAGGGGGGAGGGGGAGGCAGGAGGAGCGCUUCCCCGCGUGUGCUCUGUGCGGUUUGGUUCUAAGGUUGUCUGGUACCAGAUGGUGCUCCUUUGUUGAUGAAGGGAAUUUGGAGGACGCAAGGAAAUCACCACAGAUGAGUGGAUUAAGGAAGGAAAAGUGAACCGCAGGCUGCUCUAAAGGACUUUUACAUUAGUACAAUCGGCGUGAACGAAGUUACUUUCCGUGUGUCGUUCAAAACUGUCCCGCUCAUGACCAUCGUUAUCCUGGAGGAAAGUUACCAUGCUUUUGAAGACUUGUCUUGAAGAGAAAAAAAAAGUCACCACACAUAAAAAAAAAAAUGUAAAUAUACUAUGGGACCUAAAUGUGUAUUUGAUUAAGAACUAGAAUACUACCUACACUAAAUUUUUAGACAUUUAGAAAUGGGGAAGAUCAAUAAGAAGAAUACUUAUAGAAGAGAGGGAGAGAACGAGUAUGUUGGAUGUUAGAAAGUGACUUUGUCGUCGAAUAAAAACUAAGUUUUGAAAAGCC
RNAcentral lists this long non-coding RNA (899 nucleotides) under Equus caballus (horse). RNAcentral's name for it is "lncRNA (ENSECAG00000050958.1)". The record is from RNAcentral. Lineage: Eukaryota; Metazoa; Chordata; Mammalia; Perissodactyla; Equidae.